UACGAGGGGGGCAAAUGUUGUUCGGAAUCACUGGGCGUAAAGGGAGCGUAGGCGGGCUUCUAAGUUAGGUGUUUAAUCCCAGGGCCCAACCCUGGUCAGGCACCUAAAACUGGGAGUCUUGAGUAGUGGAGAGGACGAUGGAAUUGGGGGUGUAGCGGUGGAAUGCGUAGAGAUCCCCAAGAACACCAGUUGCGAAGGCGGUCGUCUGGACACAUAUUGACGCUGAGGCUCGAAAGCAUGGGGAGCAAACAGG
RNAcentral lists this ribosomal RNA (253 nucleotides) under uncultured bacterium. Its description in RNAcentral is "partial 16S ribosomal RNA". It matches the Rfam family "Bacterial small subunit ribosomal RNA", at positions 524 to 776 of the family's 1533-position model. The record is from RNAcentral.